RNAcentral lists this ribosomal RNA (125 nucleotides) under uncultured fungus. RNAcentral's name for it is "partial 18S ribosomal RNA". It matches the Rfam family "Eukaryotic small subunit ribosomal RNA", at positions 1706 to 1831 of the family's 1831-position model. The record is from RNAcentral. Lineage: Eukaryota; Fungi.
ACUUUCGGACGAGGACAGGACGCCUCACGGCGACUUGACCAUGGGAAGUUAUUUAAACCUCAUCAUUUAGAGGAAGGUGAAGUCGUAACAAGGUUUCCGUAGGUGAACCUGCGGAAGGAUCAUUA